GGAGCUUGCUCCUGGAUUCAGCGGCGGACGGGUGAGUAAUGCCUAGGAAUCUGCCUGGUAGUGGGGGACAACGUUUCGAAAGGAACGCUAAUACCGCAUACGUCCUACGGGRGAAAGCAGGGGACCUUCGGGCCUUGCGCUAUCAGAUGAGCCUAGGUCGGAUUAGCUAGUUGGUGAGGUAAUGGCUCACCAAGGCGACRAUCCGUAACUGGUCUGAGAGGAUGAUCAGUCACACUGGAACUGAGACACGGUCCAGACUCCUACGGGAGGCAGCAGUGGGGAAUAUUGGACAAUGGGSGAAAGCCUGAUCCAGMC
RNAcentral lists this ribosomal RNA (315 nucleotides) under Pseudomonas moraviensis. RNAcentral's name for it is "bacterial SSU rRNA". It matches the Rfam family "Bacterial small subunit ribosomal RNA", at positions 75 to 391 of the family's 1533-position model. The record is from RNAcentral. Lineage: Bacteria; Pseudomonadati; Pseudomonadota; Gammaproteobacteria; Pseudomonadales; Pseudomonadaceae.